Molecule: transfer RNA, 74 nt
Filed under: Ornithorhynchus anatinus (platypus)
Lineage: Eukaryota; Metazoa; Chordata; Mammalia; Monotremata; Ornithorhynchidae
Rfam family: tRNA
About the family: Transfer RNA (tRNA) molecules are approximately 80 nucleotides in length. Their secondary structure includes four short double-helical elements and three loops (D, anti-codon, and T loops). Further hydrogen bonds mediate the characteristic L-shaped molecular structure. tRNAs have two regions of fundamental functional importance: the anti-codon, which is responsible for specific mRNA codon recognition, and the 3' end, to which the tRNAs corresponding amino acid is attached (by aminoacyl-tRNA synthetases). tRNAs cope with the degeneracy of the genetic code in two manners: having more than one tRNA (with a specific anti-codon) for a particular amino acid; and 'wobble' base-pairing, i.e. permitting non-standard base-pairing at the 3rd anti-codon position.
Source: Rfam by way of RNAcentral
GGCAGCGUGGCUCAUUGUGGAAAGAGCACGGGCUUUGAAGUCAGAGGUCAUGAGUUUGAAUCCCAGCUCUGCCA